This 515-nucleotide ribosomal RNA is filed under the name uncultured bacterium. Its description in RNAcentral is "partial 16S ribosomal RNA". It matches the Rfam family "Bacterial small subunit ribosomal RNA", at positions 28 to 523 of the family's 1533-position model. The record is from RNAcentral.
GAUGAACGCUGGCGGCGUGCCUAAUACAUGCAAGUCGAGCGAAUGGAUUAAGAGCUUGCUCUUAUGAAGUUAGCGGCGGACGGGUGAGUAACACGUGGGUAACCUGCCCAUAAGACUAGGAUAACUCCGGGAAACCGGGGCUAAUACCGGAUACCAUUUUGAACCGCACGGUCCGAAAGUGCAAGGCGGCUUCGGCUGUCACUUAUGGAUGGACCCGCGUCGCAUUAGCUAGUUGGUGACGUAACGGCUCACCAAGGCAACGAUGCGUAGCCGACCUGAGAGGGUGAUCAGCCACAAAGGGACUGAGACACGGCCCAGACUCCUACGGGAGGCAGCAGUAGGGAAUCUUCCGCAAUGGACGAAAGUCUGACGGAGCAACGCCGCGUGAGUGAUGAAGGCUUUCGGGUCGUAAAACUCUGUUGUUAGGGAAGAACAAGUGCUAGUUGAAUAAGCUGGCACCUUGACGGUACCUAACCAGAAAGCCACGGCUAACUACGUGCCAGCAGCCGCGGUAA